UACGUAGGGUGCAAGCGUUGUCCGGAAUUAUUGGGCGUAAAGAGCUCGUAGGCGGUUUGUCGCGUCGAAUGUGAAAACCCGGGGCUCAACCCCGGGCCUGCAUUCGAUACGGGCAGACUAGAGUUCGGUAGGGGUGACUGGAAUUCCUGGUGUAGCGGUGGAAUGCGCAGAUAUCAGGAGGAACACCGAUGGCGAAGGCAGGUCACUGGGCCGCAACUGACGCUGAGGAGCGAAAGCAUGGGGAGCGAACAGG
Molecule: ribosomal RNA, 253 nt
Filed under: uncultured bacterium
Lineage: Bacteria
Description: partial 16S ribosomal RNA
Rfam family: Bacterial small subunit ribosomal RNA
Source: RNAcentral